AAAACCUCCACAAUGAAAAGGCCUAACCCCCUAAUUUAAGAACAACAACUCUAACAAUCAAUACAUUGACAUAACUUGACCCAAAUUUUUGAUCAAUGAACCAAGUUACUCUGGGGAUAACAGCGCAAUCCAUUUCAAGAGCCCCUAUCGACAAAUGGGUUUACGACCUCGAUGUUGGAUCAGGGUAUCCCAGUGGUGUAGCCGCUACUAAAGGCUCG
RNAcentral lists this ribosomal RNA (218 nucleotides) under Arthroleptis palava (problem squeaker frog). Its description in RNAcentral is "partial 16S ribosomal RNA". It matches the Rfam family "Bacterial large subunit ribosomal RNA", at positions 2335 to 2575 of the family's 2925-position model. The record is from RNAcentral. Lineage: Eukaryota; Metazoa; Chordata; Amphibia; Anura; Arthroleptidae.